CGACCGGCGCACGGGUGCGUAACGCGUAUGCAACCUACCCAUAACAGGGGGAUAACACUGAGAAAUUGGUACUAAUACCCCAUAACAUCAGGACCGGCAUCGGUUCUGGUUGAAAACUCCGGUGGUUAUGGAUGGGCAUGCGUUGUAUUAGCUGGUUGGUGAGGUAACGGCUCACCAAGGCAACGAUACAUAGGGGGACUGAGAGGUUAACCCCCCACAUUGGUACUGAGACACGGACCAG
This 241-nucleotide ribosomal RNA is filed under the name uncultured bacterium. RNAcentral describes it as "partial 16S ribosomal RNA". It matches the Rfam family "Bacterial small subunit ribosomal RNA", at positions 92 to 334 of the family's 1533-position model. The record is from RNAcentral.